RNAcentral lists this small RNA (27 nucleotides) under Bombyx mori (domestic silkworm). RNAcentral describes it as "ovarian small RNA-4357". The record is from RNAcentral. Lineage: Eukaryota; Metazoa; Arthropoda; Insecta; Lepidoptera; Bombycidae.
ACACUCUGAGUAAUCGUUGCAGUUUGU